This 116-nucleotide ribosomal RNA is filed under the name uncultured archaeon. RNAcentral describes it as "partial 16S ribosomal RNA". It matches the Rfam family "Archaeal small subunit ribosomal RNA", at positions 357 to 473 of the family's 1478-position model. The record is from RNAcentral.
GCGCGAAAGCGUGACGUGGGAACUCCAAGUGCCUUGCCUUCGGGUAAGGCUUUUGUUCAGUGUAAGUACCUAAACGAAUAAGUGCUGGGUAAGACCGGUGCCAGCAGCCGCGGUAA